This 253-nucleotide ribosomal RNA is filed under the name uncultured bacterium. Its description in RNAcentral is "partial 16S ribosomal RNA". It matches the Rfam family "Bacterial small subunit ribosomal RNA", at positions 524 to 776 of the family's 1533-position model. The record is from RNAcentral.
UACGGGGGGGGCAAGCGUUGUUCGGAAUUACUGGGCGUAAAGGGCUCGUAGGUGGCCAACUAAGUCAGACGUGAAAUCCCUCGGCUUAACCGGGGAACUGCGUCUGAUACUGGAUGGCUUGAGUUCGGGAGAGGGAUGCGGAAUUCCCGGUGUAGCGGUGAAAUGCGCAGAUAUCGGGAGGAACACCGGUGGCGAAGGCGGUUCUCUGGGCCUUACCUGACGCUGAGGAGCGAAAGCGUGGGGAGCGAACAGG